This 118-nucleotide small nucleolar RNA is filed under the name Myotis davidii. Its description in RNAcentral is "Small Cajal body specific RNA 21". It matches the Rfam family "Small Cajal body specific RNA 21", at positions 23 to 140 of the family's 140-position model. From Rfam's summary of the family: scaRNAs are a specific class of small nuclear RNAs which localise to the Cajal bodies and guide the modification of RNA polymerase II transcribed spliceosomal RNAs U1, U2, U4, U5 and U12. The record is from Rfam by way of RNAcentral. Lineage: Eukaryota; Metazoa; Chordata; Mammalia; Chiroptera; Vespertilionidae.
CAAAUAGAGUACCUAACCUUCCCUCAGACGAGCUGAGAGUAGAGAGGCCAGGCUUCCUUCCCCAUGGGAGAGGUGGUUAAGAAAGGAGCCUCGCCUAGACUGCCCUUGCCUCACAUUU